UAUAGAGAGAUGAGAGCUUGGAUGUCGAUGAUCUACGGCAGCAUACCAACUAUGCAGGAGGCUAUCACAGUGAUCAUUAUGUGAUUGAGAUGUUUUGGGAGAUUCUCAAAGGCUUUUCAUUGGAAAACAGGAAGAAAUUUCUGAAGUUUGUGACAGGUUGCUCUCGUGGACCAUUGCUGGGUUUUCGAUAUCUUGAACCUUUGUUUUGCAUACAAAGGUGAAUAAUACUAUAGAAAU
This is a long non-coding RNA of Arachis ipaensis, 237 nucleotides long. RefSeq lists it as uncharacterized. The record is from RefSeq and is a predicted model, not a curated record. Lineage: Eukaryota; Viridiplantae; Streptophyta; Magnoliopsida; Fabales; Fabaceae.